This 561-nucleotide ribosomal RNA is filed under the name uncultured bacterium. Its description in RNAcentral is "bacterial SSU rRNA". It matches the Rfam family "Bacterial small subunit ribosomal RNA", at positions 338 to 916 of the family's 1533-position model. The record is from RNAcentral.
CCUACGGGAGGCAGCAGUGGGGAAUCUUGCGCAAUGGGCGAAAGCCUGACGCAGCCAUGCCGCGUGAAUGAUGAAGGUCUUAGGAUUGUAAAAUUCUUUCACCGGGGACGAUAAUGACGGUACCCGGAGAAGAAGCCCCGGCUAACUUCGUGCCAGCAGCCGCGGUAAUACGAAGGGGGGCUAGCGUUGCUCGGAAUUACUGGGCGUAAAGGGAGCGUAGGCGGAUAGUUUAGUCAGAGGUGAAAGCCCAGGGCUCAACCUUGGAAUUGCCUUUGAUACUGGCUAUCUUGAGUAUGGGAGAGGUUAGCGGAACUCCGAGUGUAGAGGUGAAAUUCGUAGAUAUUCGGAAGAACACCAGUGGCGAAGGCGGCUAACUGGCCCAUUACUGACGCUGAGGCUCGAAAGCGUGGGGAGCAAACAGGAUUAGAUACCCUGGUAGUCCACGCCGUAAACGAUGAGUGCUAGUUGUCGGCAUGCAUGCAUGUCGGUGACGCAGCUAACGCAUUAAGCACUCCGCCUGGGGAGUACGGUCGCAAGAUUAAAACUCAAAGGAAUUGACGG